AGUUUGAUCCUGGCUUAGGACGAACGCUGGCGGCGUGCUUAACACAUGCAAGUCGAACGAUGACGAUGGUGCUUGCACCGUCUGAUUAGUGGCGAACGGGUGAGUAACACGUGAGUAACCUGCCCUCCUCUUCGGGAUAACCGCCGGAAACGGUGGCUAAUACCGGAUAUGAAUGCCUGCCGCAUGGUGGGUGUUGGAAAGAUUUAUCGGUGGGGGAUGGACUCGCGGCCUAUCAGUUUGUUGGUGAGGUAAUGGCUCACCAAGGCGAUGACGGGUAGCCGGCCUGAGAGGGCGACCGGCCACACUGGGACUGAGACACGGCCCAGACUCCUACGGGAGGCAGCAGUGGGGAAUAUUGCACAAUGGGCGAAAGCCUGAUGCCAGCGACGCCGCGUGGGGGAUGACGGCCUUCGGGUUGUAAACCUCUUUCAGCAGGGAAGAAGCGAGAGUGACGGUACCUGCAGAAGAAGCGCCGGCUAACUACGUGCCAGCAGCCGC
This 498-nucleotide ribosomal RNA is filed under the name uncultured bacterium. RNAcentral describes it as "bacterial SSU rRNA". It matches the Rfam family "Bacterial small subunit ribosomal RNA", at positions 10 to 518 of the family's 1533-position model. The record is from RNAcentral.